RNAcentral lists this non-coding RNA (217 nucleotides) under Clostridium intestinale. Its description in RNAcentral is "T-box sequence". It matches the Rfam family "T-box leader". From Rfam's summary of the family: Uncharged tRNA acts as the effector for transcription antitermination of genes in the T-box leader family. T-boxes are found upstream of many aminoacyl-tRNA synthetase genes and some amino acid biosynthetic genes usually in Gram-positive bacteria. The record is from RNAcentral. Lineage: Bacteria; Bacillati; Bacillota; Clostridia; Eubacteriales; Clostridiaceae.
AUAAAUUCUAUGAAGAGGAUAGUAACUAAUUAGGAUUCUUAUAGAGAGCGAAGGAUGGUGAAAGCUUCGCAGAAAAGUUUUUAGUGAAGGACACCUUAGAGAAGUUUAUUUGAAAUUUAGUAGGAUAAAUCGGUUGCUACCGUUAAAAGGCUUAAAGAUAAUCUUUUUAUAUAUUAGAUUAAAUAAGGAUGGCACCGUGGGCAAACUCACUUCUGUU